AAAUUGAAGAGUUUGAUCAUGGCUCAGAUUGAACGCUGGCGGCAGGCCUAACACAUGCAAGUCGAACGGUAACAGAAAGAAGCUUGCUUCUUUGCUGACGAGUGGCGGACGGGUGAGUAAUGUCUGGGAAACUGCCUGAUGGAGGGGGAUAACUACUGGAAACGGUAGCUAAUACCGCAUAACGUCGCAAGACCAAAGAGGGGGACCUUCGGGCCUCUUGCCAUCGGAUGUGCCCAGAUGGGAUUAGCUUGUUGGUGGGGUAACGGCUCACCAAGGCGACGAUCCCUAGCUGGUCUGAGAGGAUGACCAGCCACACUGGAACUGAGACACGGUCCAGACUCCUACGGGAGGCAGCAGUGGGGAAUAUUGCACAAUGGGCGCAAGCCUGAUGCAGCCAUGCCGCGUGUAUGAAGAAGGCCUUCGGGUUGUAAAGUACUUUCAGCGGGGAGGAAGGGAGUAAAGUUAAUACCUUUGCUCAUUGACGUUACCCGCAGAAGAAGCACCGGCUAACUCCGUGCCAGCAGCCGCGGUAAUACGGAGGGUGCAAGCGUUAAUCGGAAUUACUGGGCGUAAAGCGCACGCAGGCGGUUUGUUAAGUCAGAUGUGAAAUCCCCGGGCUCAACCUGGGAACUGCAUCUGAUACUGGCAAGCUUGAGUCUCGUAGAGGGGGGUAGAAUUCCAGGUGUAGCGGUGAAAUGCGUAGAGAUCUGGAGGAAUACCGGUGGCGAAGGCGGCCCCCUGGACGAAGACUGACGCUCAGGUGCGAAAGCGUGGGGAGCAAACAGGAUUAGAUACCCUGGUAGUCCACGCCGUAAACGAUGUCGACUUGGAGGUUGUGCCCUUGAGGCGUGGCUUCCGGAGCUAACGCGUUAAGUCGACCGCCUGGGGAGUACGGCCGCAAGGUUAAAACUCAAAUGAAUUGACGGGGGCCCGCACAAGCGGUGGAGCAUGUGGUUUAAUUCGAUGCAACGCGAAGAACCUUACCUGGUCUUGACAUCCACGGAAGUUUUCAGAGAUGAGAAUGUGCCUUCGGGAACCGUGAGACAGGUGCUGCAUGGCUGUCGUCAGCUCGUGUUGUGAAAUGUUGGGUUAAGUCCCGCAACGAGCGCAACCCUUAUCCUUUGUUGCCAGCGGUCCGGCCGGGAACUCAAAGGAGACUGCCAGUGAUAAACUGGAGGAAGGUGGGGAUGACGUCAAGUCAUCAUGGCCCUUACGACCAGGGCUACACACGUGCUACAAUGGCGCAUACAAAGAGAAGCGACCUCGCGAGAGCAAGCGGACCUCAUAAAGUGCGUCGUAGUCCGGAUUGAGUCUGCAACUCGACUCCAUGAAGUCGGAAUCGCUAGUAAUCGUGGAUCAGAAUGCCACGGUGAAUACGUUCCCGGGCCUUGUACACACCGCCCGUCACACCAUGGGAGUGGGUUGCAAAAGAAGUAGGUAGCUUAACCUUCGGGAGGGCGCUUACCACUUUGUGAUUCAUGACUGGGGUGAAGUCGUAACAAGGUAACCGUAGGGGAACCUGCGGUUGGAUCACCUCCUUA
Molecule: ribosomal RNA, 1541 nt
Filed under: Escherichia coli
Lineage: Bacteria; Pseudomonadati; Pseudomonadota; Gammaproteobacteria; Enterobacterales; Enterobacteriaceae
Description: bacterial SSU rRNA
Rfam family: Bacterial small subunit ribosomal RNA
Source: RNAcentral